This 254-nucleotide ribosomal RNA is filed under the name uncultured bacterium. Its description in RNAcentral is "partial 16S ribosomal RNA". It matches the Rfam family "Bacterial small subunit ribosomal RNA", at positions 524 to 776 of the family's 1533-position model. The record is from RNAcentral.
UACGUAGGGACCAAGCGUUGUUCGGAUUUACUGGGCGUAAAGGGCGCGUAGGCGGCAAUUCAAGUCAGCUGUGAAAUCUCCGGGCUUAACUCGGAACGGUCAGAUGAUACUGCUUUGCUAGAGUGCGGAAGGGGCAAUCGGAAUUCUUGGUGUAGCGGUGAAAUGCGUAGAUAUCAAGAGGAACACCUGAGGUGAAGACGGGUUGCUGGGCCGACACUGACGCUGAGUGCGCGAAAGCCAGGGGAGCAAGCGGG